CACGGGCAGCGUGCACGCCAUGAUCAUGAUGCCCAUGUACUCCAGGCCCAUGCCCGUGGAGUACUUGGAUGAGGUGAAGAAAAGCAGCUGGGUCAGUCCUGCACCGAAGUUGCCGCCGGCGCCGGUCAUGCCGGAGAUGAUGCCAAGGGAGCGGCGGGAGAUGAAAGGGGUGACACCAAAAAUGGCGCCACAGGCGGCCUGAGCGCAGAAUGAGAAGAGCACCAUGGCGGUGAUUGAGGCAGGGAGUGUGGUAGCGCGGCCAAGCCAAAGGCAGAAGGCGCCGCCUGCGGUCUGGAGGAUCCAGAUGUUCCAAAGGCGGGCACGCAUGCCCCAGUAGCGCGCACCAACAUCGGAGAGGAUCCCACCCAGGGGCCUUGCCACGAUGUUAGCCAUGCCGAAGCAGGCGGCGAUGAUGCCGGCAACUCGAAGGUCCAGGUUGAAGUGGUCGAAGUAGUACUCAGCGAUGACGUUGUCGGUGGUGAGCUCGACGCCCAUGCAGUAGCCGUAGAGCAGGACGAAGAUCCAUGUCCGGUAGUUGGUGAUAGCGUACCACAUAACCUUGGAGAACUUGUCCUUGUUGGCAUCGCCCUUCUUCUGGAGGCUACGGAGGUUGCCAUCGGGGAGGUCUUGCCCCAUGGUGAGCACAAGGAUUCCCAUCACGAUGUGCAGUGACCCAGGCACGAAGUAGGCGAGACGCCACGCCGUGAAGGGUGUGGCGCCGCACUUGCGGAUGAUGUCAUAGACGAGUGGCAUGAUGAGCUGCGUGGCGCCGCCGCCCAUGUUUCCCCAGCCGGCGGCCAACCCAUUGACGGUACCGAUGAUCUUGCUAUUGAACAUGGUGCUCAUCCAGUACUGGCACGACACGAACGUCGCUAGAGAGAAGCCGAUUAGGAACCUGACGACGAUGUAGCCUGCGGCGUCGUCGAUGAUGGCCAUGCAAAAGACAGUGGGCGCGGCGAGCAUGAUGAGGAACGCGCAGCCGUAGCGCGGGCCGAGGAGGUCACACACGGCACCCAUGGCGAGACGGGAGAAGAUGGAGCCGGAGACGGAGGCCACGCCGGCGUUGCCGAUGUCGGCCUUGGUGAGGUUGAGGUUGUCGCGGAUGAUGGGGACCAGCGGCGCCGCGGCGAAGGUGGAGACGAAGCAGGUGAAGAAGGAGAUCCACGAGAGGUGGAAGGUGCGCAUGUGCGGGUUGGCGAAGGAGAAGAGCCUGAUGGUCUUGGCCUUGUGCUCCGAGUCCACCGGCAGGUCGAACUUGCUCGCCGCCGUGGCAUCCUCCGUCGAGAAGGCGAACGUCGGCUCGCGCCCGGUCAUGCCGUGGAGCGAGCUCCCCGGCGCGCCGCGCUCCCCGUCCGCCAUAGCCUAAUUCAAGCUAGCUUCUUGAGCUUGCUUGCUGUUGUUGAUGAGUGGUUGGUGUUCGCAAAUGCUGGUGCUUGGUUGGAGCUUUUUCGGGUUGCAUCUGCGGAGUAUAUAUAGCGAGCCGGGGAGUUGACAUUUUGGGCAUCUUGGUCACGACGCUGGCGCCUGAGAACUCGUGCCAGGCCGUCGACAUGAGGGGUCAUCGAGUUGCUGAAUUAACAAGGUGAAUUAUUGGACCUGACGGGAUGAGUGAAGGAUUAUUGGAGUUUGAUGUACUCAGCGCUGGAAGAGGAAAGGGAUUCCUCGGCGCCGCAUCACCGGAACUGGAAUGGCCCUGGCCUCAUCCCGUGGGAUCGGCCAAGGAUCAGAAUCUUCUGCUGGGGGGCCAACUGGCUGCGUGUCCAGAAUCGGUUCUUAGAUUUUUAGCAGCUGCUGACCUGCUGCAGAAAAAAAAUGGCCAUACCUGCCAGCUGCCGCAAGCCCUUGUUUCUUUUUCAGCUGGUCGACGACGACGACGACUGAAACUUGCCCAAGUUUCAUUCACACUGUAAACACCAGCAACUGUCAGCUCACAAGCCUUGUUUUCUGAUAGUAAUCAAAACUGUGUUCAGACUUCAGACAUUGCUGUGUUGUAACUUUCGGCUCAGGUAAUAAAUCGAUCUCGGCCACUUGUGUUAAAAUUGAGCUCGUUUAAAUUUUUUUUGAAGGAACGGGCACGACAUUGUGCCUAUUUCAUUGAUAAAGCAGGAGGAUCUUAAAAUUUAUCCAUGCCGUUUUGCAGCUGCAAGGUUCAAAUCUGUGGCUACUGGGCUUAACGAACCUUCAGACCCUAAUCAUGCAUGCUAGUGGAACGAACCGUCUAAUAAUUCAGUACUUGAUCCCUGCUAAUUAAAUAUCUGAUGAAGCGUUGCUUAAUUAAUUCCUUAUCUGAUUAUUGAUAUGUUAAGCUUCAGAUGACCAAUAAAGGCCAGUAUGUAGCUUGCUUGCUAGGGAAAUUAAAGAAAGAGGCAGCUGAAGGCUGACGCGCUGCGCGUUUACUGCUGGGCCGACUUCUUGUUCCGUUCGAGUUAACCUAGCUAGCUGCUUCAUCUUUCGCAGCAAUCGAACGCCCAGAGAUGGAUAGACGAACACCAUUCACAUCAUCUGACGCAUACGCGCGCUUUGCAUUGGUCGAUCACCGGUCUGUCGACGACUUUUAUCCAAAUUGCAAAAUACUUAUUGCAGAUUUUCAUACAUACUCCUACAUAUAUAAUUCUGUCAACGAUGACGACCCUAACAGAGAUCGACAUCGAUCUAUCACAUGCAUAAUUCUGACCCAAAUGCUCCAAUCAAGUUGCAUCGUGUGUUCGCUGCCUGUGAAUAAUCAGGAAAUGUACAGUAAGUUUAUUUUCACAUGUCAUUUUUGAAACUAUUUUGUUGGUACAUGAAAAUUCCUGCAACUCGGUAUUUCUUGUGUGUUUCAGCUUUGAAUUGUGAUAAAUAUAAAUAGAUAGGGAUAGGCACUAGGUGAGUGGUAUCUGACCCUUUGAACUUAUCAGGUUUGUUGCAAUUUAUAAGAUAAGCUAGAGCUAGCUAUGAUAAAUACUGUGUCGAAGUGCAUGCGUGAUUACUUAUUGUCAACAAGUUGGCAUGUCGCUAGCUAGCAGUUGCUUUCAAGGGCAUUUGACUCUACCAAUUAAACGAUGUAAUGUACAUGCAUGUUUCACAAAUUUAUUUUAGAAGUUGUGUUACAUAUGAUGCAUCCAAUUUGGUUCGUCCAAGUUCUGCAAACUUGGUUGACAGAUAUGUGCACCUUUUCCAUACUUACAAGUUGGCUGUACAGUACAGUCAGACGUUCAUAUUGUCAACACGGCACCCUCUUUUUUGAUAAAGAAAGCUUUAUUAAUUUUAAAGAACAUUACAUAGAGAUGAUACAAAGUCUUGAACACAAUAAUUCUAACCUCUUUCUUGUAUUAAUUAAAAGAUGGAAGCAUGCAGCAAUGGUAUAGAAUACCGGCACCGUUAGGGAACGUUGAAAGGGUGGCUUUUGGCUUUUCAAUGGAGCGGGAGGGGUGUACUCUCCAAGCAUUUUAGGGUAUGUUCAACAGUUUAGACGUCUGUAAGUCACAUAUAGAUAGUGAAACCGACAGCUUGUACAAUGAUUUAUCUUUUAAGUUGUCUGCAAGUUAUUUAAUUCAUUCAAAUCAAGGUGAUUAGGGAUAAAUAUGAUCUAUGUAUGCCAUUUUGUUGCUUCUUCACUCAAUGCAAUGCAUGCUUCCUGAGGCAAUCAAGAAAGAAGCUUCUCCCCUUUAUGAUAUUACGCCAAAACUUGCAGGUUGAAGCAUGCUAGGGAGGCAGGAUUGGUGAUGUGAGACAGGAUCUUAUCGAUCAAAUCCACCGGAAGCUGCAGCAUCACGCCAUCAUCCAUGAUCCUUUUCUGCAAAGAAAAGACAGGCAUCGAUUUUGUUUAAAACACAACCAGAAGGAGACCAGCUCCAAAUGAACUCAAAAGAGUUCAGGCAACUGAUUUCCUUAUUUUUACCUCAAAGAAAAUUUGUUCUCUUAGAUGUACUAUAAGCAAUAGAAAGAACCACAGAAACUUUGGCAGCAUAGCAAAACAACGGAUUUGGAUUCACCCCAAAAUAAUCUUGUAGAGUUCUUGCAGCAGAGAGUUCUGUCUCCAGAUUUGCUAUUGUCUUACCUAAAGUCCUGCAAGAAGCCAGCUCAACUGCAAUUAGAAACAAUUUCGUAGAAGCUUCCCUGAAUCAAAUCAAAGAGAGAAAAAAAUUACUUUUUGUAUACUGCAAUUAGAAACAAUUUCGUUAUACUACAGUCUCCAGCCAUAAGCUUAGACUCUUUCCCUCUUCUUUCAUUUGGUAUAGCUACCUCUUUCCCUCUUCUUUCAUUUGGUAUAGCUACCUCACUUGCUUCAGGCAAUGUCCACAUCCUGGAGAGAUCUCACCCGCAUCCGCUCCCCGCAAAAUGUAGAAGUGAGCUCACCAGAAGACCACGGAUCUCACCCGCAUCCAUCCUACGAAUACUCGGGACUAUGCAGAACGAGCCACCAAUAUACUCGAAUCUGAACAUCCUAUCGGGCACCGGAUUGAUUGAUUGGUUACCUGUUCGUGAAGAGCAGGCCGAGGCAGAAGCUCCCGACGCAGAGCAGCAGCACCCAGCUCCUAGCCACGCAAUCUGCGCCCCCUCCCUUCCUCCAACUCAUGGCCGCCGCCGCACUACUGGUCGUCCUCCUCCUCUGAGUCUCAGCUCCCGCGGCAAGAGGCGUGGCGCGGCGGCGGCCCAGGUAUCCGGCCUCGCCUCCCGUCGGCGUCCCAUGCGGAGGGAGGGGAGCCAGAGGAGGCGUGGCGCGGCGGCGGCUCAGCUAUCCGGCCUCGCCUCCCGUCAGCCUCCCGCGCGGAGGGAGGGGAGCUGGAGGGGAAUCGGUUGGAGCAGCACGGGUUGAUUUUCGCACUCGAUCCGGAGGUACGCGGAUGGAUCGUACAACGGGGCGUGGAGGUCGUUGCCGGGUGUUGGAGCACGAGCCCGCGUCAUCGUCUCGCGAGACGACGGCGCCCGUCGCUUGGCUCAGACGAGGACCUUUUUGCAAAUACGCCGACUCCCAGACGGCUCACAGAUAAACGUGCCCUUGUAGUACACGCCAGCUUGCUGCAUUCCCGGAAGCUGGGAGCUGAAAAUGUCUCACACUCACGUCCAAAACACAAUGAGUUUGACGGUGUUGACACCGGCAAUCAGAUAUUCAGGUCCCGUUUGGUUCACCCCGCUUAUUUUUAGCACCCGUCACAUCAAAUAUUUAGAUACUAAUUAGGAGUAAUAAACGUAGACUAUUACAAAAUGACAGCACAUAAAGCGAGGGUAGACGGCGAGACGAAUUUAUUUAGCCUAAUUAGUCCAUGAUUUGACAAUGUGUUGCUACAGUAAACAUUUGCUAAUGAUGGAUUAAUUAGGCUUAAUAUGUUCAUCUUGCCGUUUAGCCUCCACUUGUGUAAUGGAUUUUGUAAAUAGUCUACGUUUAAUACUUCUAAUUAGUAUCUAAACAUUCGAUGUGACACGUGCUAAAAAUAAGCAAAGGGAACCAAACGCCUCCACAGAUCAGGCAGGCUCGAAAUCCUUUUCUUUGAUUGGGCUGGGCCAAGGUUUAUGUGAGCGGGGACGUGUGUAGCAAGAACACAUGUCUAUUUUCCCUGUGAGGCUCAGGUAGGCCCAUGUAGCGGAAAGGCGCAACUGAGCCGUUGUCCAGGCGCAAUUGAGAGAGGGGAGAAAUAGAGAUGCACCCAUUGUGUGGGCCUUCCAAAAGCCCAGCACAGUACCCAGUAAUAGCUUCGUCAUCUCUCAAAAAGAUUCUAACUCGAGGAGGAGGAGGAGGAAGAUCACGUCACAUCUGACAGACCAUGGAGACAUUGUAACCUGUAUGCAGUUUUAUUUUGUAAGGACCCUGUAUGCAAGCAGUUAGGACGACCGAAUAUAAUGGCAUCAUGCUUAUACAUUGGAAUACAGGUAUGCUCAGUCGGAUUUUGGAUGAGGUACGUGUCAGUGUUUAAACCUGAUAACCUAUCGAGGGAAGUGUCGGUUCGUCGAGAUCAGGAACUCGAAGGUAAAUGUAGACACAAUUUAGAUAGGUUUGGGCUGCUGAAUAGCGUAAUACCCUACGUCCCGUGUGUUGGUUGGAUUGAAUUGCCUUGGAAGAGAUCCCUACCUCACCUUAUAUUGUCGGGGACAGGGUUACAGGUCGGUUGAUUACAAGAAAACUAGUCGGAUUCGACUAGACGAGUUCUACCCUUAUUGCUACGAGUACUUUUCCUAAUCCUCAACUAGUUCCUAUCUUUCCAUGUAGACUACGCCGUCUUGCGCUAUAGUCUCCAUGUCAGAUUCGUCUUGGUAUUCAGCCCCAUAUUUAGGACUGUCCAAACCUUCUGGUGGGCCCAUAGAUGUAUUUACAGCAAGCCCCCGAGUACUUUUUAGUCAAACGAAGUAGUUCCGAGUACUUUUGUGGUCUUUACCGACUAGUUUUGGUGCUCUUCGAGUACUUCGUCUGGUUGAAUCUUCAAAGGUACCCAAAAACUACCAUGCUGCUAGAAUGUAAUCAAGCCUCCUUUAACUUAGUGUUGUAUCCUUCAACUUUGAAUUUCAUAUGGAAGUGCGACGAAAGUUGCACUCCAUAUAGAGUAGCCCCCGAGCAUUAGGUUGAAUCAAAGAAUCAAGCUGAGGGUCAAUCUGUAAUUUGCAUCACUUUCUCCUUAAAGCUCAGAAAAAACUUUUUGUCGAUAGACAUGUGGCACACAACCCCCGAGACUUUAGCCGACUAGUUUGGUGGGCAAAAGAGUCAACCUUUGGUCAAUGUGACCAUCUAUGAAAGGAAAUCUUAUCUCUUAAAAAAAUAAAGGUAACUACCAAUUCAGGUGCCCCGAAAUCUACGGAUCCCUAAAACCAAAAUCCCUUUAUUUGUAUCCGUUGUUACCGCACCACUGUGAUAAAUAACGGAGGAAGUUAUCCCUUCCAUUUCACCUUUGCCAGUUGCCUUUCCAAUCUCCAUACUGUAGCUGUAGUGCCGCCGCUAUCUAAUCUCCGAGCACUAGCGCCCCCCAACCACUUAGCCCCCGAGUGUAUGUGACAGAAGAAAGUCGUGACAUCAAGGAUGCGGAGGAAGUGUAACGUCCUGGAAAAAUUCACCAAGUUAAAUCACUCGCUAAAAAUUAUUUCCAAAAUUUUUUCACCGUUUGAGCUCGCAAAUCCCAUCUUCCUGGCGAUUCUACUGUCUCGGCACCAAAGCCAACCACCGUCCAUUUUCUUUCUUUUUCACCUGUGCGCCACGCCUCGUUGCCAGCCCGAUCGCUUCCGCAAAUCUCCGCCGACCACCCUCCAUUUUCUCCCUUUUCCUCUCCGCAAGUCACACCGCGUGCCAGUUGGAAGACCGCCGCACCCGUGCUCGUGACCACUUCCGCAAUCGCCACCGUCUCUCUCACUCUCUCUCUUUUCUUCUCCUUUUUUCCAUCUCUCUUUUUCCCUUUUCUUUUUUUCCUUUUCCUUCUCUCUUCCUUUUUUCUUCCCUUUUUCCGCUUCCUCCUUCUCCCGCACGCGCCUGCCCCAGUACGCCACCGCGCCCUCCUGUCGCACCACCACGCACGCAUGCCCCCGCCGCCCUGCCGCACGCCACCAUCCCAGCCUCAUUGCCCGCGCGCCCUGCACCUUGGCCCGCACCAUACCACAGCGCCCAGCGUGCCACGCGCCUCGCGUCGCGAACCUGACCGUGCAUUCGCUCGCUCUUGCACCCGACCCCGCCUCUGCCUGUGCUUGGGCCCACUCUUCGCCGCACACGCACGCCACCGCUCCCCGCUGCCGCAUGCCCCUAGCCCCGAUCUCACCUUGGUGCCCGUGCCCAACCCCGCCACGCCACGCACGCACCUCGCCACCGCUCCUGCCACCGGCGCGCUGCCCGCCGCCAAAUCGCCGCGCCGCCCAACGUCUGGUCUCCGCACCGCACGGCACAGCGCCGCCCUGUGCUCCGCCCUUGUGCCUCGCCUUGUGCCCGAGCAUCCCGGCCGCCAUUAGUGCCGCCUCCCUGUGCGCUGCCCGUUGGCCGCCCCCUCCCUCUUUCCUCUGGCCUAUAAAAGGCCCUCCACUCCACCACCAAGCCUUGGCCAUCUCUCUCCCCCUUCUGUGCUCCCAGCACUGUCGUCCUGUACCGCCACCGCCGCAUCCUGCCGCCAUCGUGGAGCUUCCCCUCCAAGCUGCCUAGCCCAAGGUGAGAAGGGGAAUGGAACCCCCUCACUCCCCUCUCCUUUUCCCCCACUCCCCGGCUGCUGCCGCGCUUUGGGACGCCGGCGCCUAUGUGGCUAGGCCGUCGCCCAUGCCCGGCCAUCCCCCUCCUCUGUUUCUAUCUCGUGAGGAAGAAAGGCAGUUUUGCCUUUUGUCCCUCCCCUUAUUCCUUUGUACACCGAGACCCUCCCCCGUCUCUUUUCUUUUUUCAUUAGGAGCCCUCCCUCUCUCAAAGAUAAUUACAAAAAGGUCCUUGGACUCUUUAAAACCAACCCGUAAUCACCUUCUUGGCGACAUUUUAUGCACCAAAUUUUCUCCUAUGAACCCCAAAUUCGACCACUCCAUUCUUAAACAUAUUCCCAUCGGGUCAUAUACCAUUUCCCUAAAAACACUCUUCCUUCCUCUAUUUUAUUGUUCACUCCCUCUCUCCGAGCUCAAUGGGUAAAACUUUAUUUUCUUUUAUUUAUUGUGUGCUCGCUCGUGUGUGCCUUAGAUCGCGGAGUGACCGAGGAGGAGGAGCCCAAAGAGGAGCUUGAAAGCCAGUACUGCGAGCUGGAGCCCGAGGACCUAUACCGCGAGCAGGAACUCCCGGAAGGCUUUGAGGACGGCAUGUCCAAUCUCACCCUUUGAUGCAUAUUUAUCCUAGUUUUAUAGACACAACCUAUUGACCAUUUUUAUAAAGUGCGUAUUGUUUUACCGCUUAAAACCCGGUUGGAUAGCCACCUCUUGAUUGCUAUGACUAUUCCUUGAUGACCUAGAAUUAUCUCUGAAUAUGAUAUGCUCUGUUUAGAAGAUAAUUGCUGCUAGAAUGCUUAUGAAUUGAUUACUUUCUUUACUAUAACUCCAUCAUGAAUACAAUGUUUUGCCAAAGAUAAAUGCGUGAGUGUUUUGGUGAAAAUAAAUGGGGUUUUGGUGAAAGAUAAAAGAGGAUGUUUAGAUUAGACGGAUGAGUGUUUCUUGUGUAAAAUGCCAAAUUGGCCUCGUACCUUAGUGGUUGAGCAGGUUGGGAGAUAUCCGUCUUGUCUUGGUUAUGAACCAAGUUGAUGUGUCAUCUUGCCUAACCCAAUUUAUUGUGCAACCACUCGACCUUUGUAUGCAGCAAAGGCUUAGCAUAAAUCCCACUAGCUAGUCUGUUAACCAUCAGGAGAGCUGGUGAGCAACGGGAGACCAUGGAGAAGGAGUAAGCACGUGUGGCUUAGGUCCCGGUUAAGACCUUGUUGGUAGGUCAUCGGCCCCUUGGUUGCUUCCGUGUUGGCUAGUCAGGUCUUAGCUAAGGUGGGUAAUGGCUUUGAUUGGAUCCGCGCUGACACUAAGGUGUUCGUGUUGCAGUACCCUACUUUAUGGGUAAAGUGUACACCUCUGCAGAGAUAAAACCUAUUCGAAUAGCCGUGUCCACGGUGUUGGAUAAGUUAUGGUUUAGGCACAUAACUAGCUUUUGGGAGAUGGAUAAUUUUUAUGGUGUGUGUUGGAUUUUGGAAGUGUCUGGUAGUUGUGCCGUAGGCUACCGCGGACAGGGAGUCUGGUAGCAUUAAAAUUUAGAUCCUUUGUGUAGGAUCAACCCCACUCAAAUAUUCGGUUACUAAAUAAAUGCUUUGUGAAAACCUUUUUAAAGUGAACCCUUGCAUGUGUUAAAAACCUAGCUUUACUGCAAACGAACCUUAGCCUUAUCCUUGUUAUGACUUGUGCAUAUUCUUAUUUUUACCCCCUCCGUGGGUGUGGUUGGACUUGUUGAGUACUUUUGUACUCACCCUUAUUUUGUUGCUAUAGAGGAAGACCCAUACUUCGUUGCUGAGGACAUCGAGUAGGUGGUCGCUUCCGCACCUAAUGUUGCCUGUGGCGUUGGUCCUUUGCAGGAUGCUUUCGCUGGCGUGUAGUUCCGAGUGCUGUCUAGCGUUCAUCUGGACAGUAGAUUGGAUUGUUACCAUUGUUUAUUUACUUAUCAUUUUGGUGUGGCUUCCGCGCCCGCUCCCUUGGGAGUUGUACGGUUCUUGAACCAUCUGUUGAAUAAAUGUGUUAUUAGCCUCCUGGGAUUGAUAUUUGUAUCACAUUUAAUCUCUGCUUAUGUGGGGACGCUUCAGGAAGGCUGCCGCUGUCAAGGGGGAAAAGAAGAAGAAAGGAUCUGGUAAGGAAAAAGAUCUUCAGUUGCCAGCGUCCAAGUACGGGAAAAUCAAUCAGACCGCGCUGCCAACUCCUGCUUGCGCUUGGAAGCGGUCAUCCUUGAAAGAGGAGGAGAUCAAGAUGCUUGUGGUUGCCAAUUUCAUCGAGCGUGGUCUUGCACUGCCAACUUUUGACUUUUUUUGUGGUCUUCUGGAUUGCUAUAAGUUGGAGCUCGUUCAUCUAAAUCCCAAUAGAAUUCUCCACACUGCCAUAUUUGUGCAUUUCUGCAAAGCUUUUCUACCCACUUCCAGUUUUUCCGAAAUUUUUCUAUGUAAAGCCGCAACUAAUGAGGGAUCACACUCAAGUAGUCGGAUACAACUGAUGAGGGAUCACACUCAAGUAGUUGGAGGAGCUGGUAUCCAGAUGUGGGAGAAACUCAGCAACCUGCAUCUAGAUUAUGAGUUGAUAGACUCCAAUGCUGGGUGGAAGGCAAAAUGAUGCUAUAUUGGCAAUCAUGAUCCUACCCGAACUGAUAGGACAUUGCCCCUUUUGGAACAACCAAUGGCUUGAUGAGCCAACACAUGGGAAUUGUGUCCAACUACCCGAUCUCAUUGAUAGAAUAGCCAAGCUGAAGCAAGAAGGACUCAUUGGAGUUGGAGUAGCCUUCAGUUUUUUGAAGCGACAAAUCCAGUCCUUGUAGCAGCGAUGUCAUUGGGGUUAUGAGUAUACUGGUGUCAAUGAUCCAUCCAAACUUUCUCCUGAUGAGCUCACCAUGAAAUUAUGGUGAGACUGAAGCGGAUGUUCAAAAAUGUGGGCGAUAUCCCUACUAUUGUGCGAAAAUUCAACGCCGCCAACCCACAAAAGCGUGUAAGUACCCAUGGCCAUAGCCCCCGACUACUUAUUUGAAGUUGUUGGGUUUGCCAACUUGUCUUUCUUUGUAGAAAGAUGUCAGCUUGUACUUUUCUGCUCCUCCUCCUCCUCCCGGAUCGGAAGAUACUUGUGAAGUUGCUCCUCGCAUGCAUACGACGGAGAGCGCUAAGAGUGAUGACGACCAAGAGGAGAAAGUACUUGAGUCCUCUAGCGGCACUAGCUCUGAUGCUGUAGAUGAAGUCAGGGCUCAGCCGUCUACUAAGGCUGGGUCUUCCUCCGGAAUAUGGAAACACUCAGUUGCAGAUGAGCUUGAAGCUGCGAUUCCUCCACCACCGAAGAAGAAGUGAUCCGUUAUUGCAAAACAGGUCAUGAAGAAGUCUGUCACCGCAGAAGAUGUGCCGCCUAUAGUAAUUACUUAUGAGGAAGGACAAGAUCCUAAGGAUCGUAUAUUCCCAAUAGGCGAUUCCAAUAGCACCACCGUGUCUACUCAAGAUGACAUUGGUGGUUUGCAGGCACUCAAAUGCAACCGAGGCGGAGAAUGCAGCUGCUGUGGCCGCUCAAAACAAGUCACCAAUCAAAAUUGAGGAUGAUCCAGAGCCUCAAAAUGUCACUAAGGGUGAUCCUCCGGUGAUGAAACCCGCUGGCGCAGAUACAACUCGAGCAGAAGAGGCGGAGCUCAAAGCUGGCCAAGAUCCUAUUAUGGAUGUGCAGGCCGCGCCGAAAGCACCUUCUCCAGCUGUCAAGCUGCUGCGGUUGUUUGGAGAACCCACACUAAAGCUGAGGAGAUCGUCAAGGUAAUCUUUUAUGCCCUUUCUGAGUAUACUAAUUGCAACUCAAAAUCAACUUGUUGUGUCGCUAAAACUUUGUCUUAUGAAGGAAAUCCUCUGAUAUGGACCUUGGAGGGCCUAGCUUGAGGUCCGUGACCGAUGGCGAUGGCCCUUCAGUCCAGGAUGCUGCCGCGGCCGAAGAAAAUCUGUAGCCAGAGGAACACCCCGUGACAAUCUAGGUGUCGUAUCAUUUGUAGUAGUGUUGAUACGAGAUGUCAUAUCAUCAUUGACUGAGGUUGUAGUGCCAGCCCCCGAGAAACAAGUACUUGAAAAGGUGAUGGCUGCUUUUGUUACAACGACCAAUGUUGAUAUCUUAACCUCUGAGCAUCAAGUACCCGAGGAGGUGCCAGCUGUUGUGGACGUGGCGACUAUUUCUACAACCCUUGAGCAACCAAUUGCUAGUGAAGCGACGACUACCUCUUGCACCGUGGUUGCAGAUGUAGCCCCCGAGCCAGAGAUAAAAGUCGAGGCGGUGACAACUCUUGAUGCCAUGACCGUCAAUGCAUCUUCCCAGGCGGGGAUGUCAACAAGGCUUGAGAUGGUCCCUCAUGCGAGCGCGGAAGCUGAGACUAGCACUGAUAGGAAUAUGACUUUGGAGGACAUCCAGCUGAUUGAUGAUCCACUACUAAACCCAGAGAUGAUAGCUACUAUCAUGGAGAUGCACCGUCAUCUUGACACUUAUGCGGAGGUGAGUUGAAUUUUCCUUGCUUUGUUGGCAUGAUCACUGGCACCCAUGUGUUUAACACGAGUACUGAUUUUUGAAUUCUAGAUCUUGAUCAAUCGCUCCCGUCGCAAGUCAGAGAUGCUCGAGGGGUAUGGUGAUACCAAACUCUGUGCUAAAGUAUUGGAGAAGGAGCUUGCCAAGGAGAAAUUGUACACCUCCCGCUUGAUGAUGAAGCACGAUAGUACAAGGGCGGCCUUCUAGAGCCGGAUUCAAGACCUGGAGGAUGAAAUGGAUCAUCUUGUUGCUCGCAAUAAGUCUCUCAAUUAGAAAAUUGAAGGUAGUCUCCUCUCCUUUGAUGUUUUUUGACUACUAAUUGUCUAACGAUCUUGCUGAUCCCGUGCUAAUGUUGUACAGAAUAUAAGAAAUUGGAACUAGAGCUUCAAACAUCAAUCACCGAUUGGAAGAAUGCAUUCUACCAGGUGACAGAUCAACACGAUAAGCUGGUGCAUCAUGUUGAGAAGUUGGAGCAUGAUCUGGAGAAGGAGACGCGGAUGCGCGAGGAUGGCGAGGUUGAUCUGGUCAAUGCCAUGAAGACCAUCUGAGAGCGCGAAGCAAAGCUGGAAACUUCCAAACUCGCUCUAAAGGAGAUAUCUGAAGCGGCCGAGCCAAUAGCAGAUAUGGUGGAGCAUCUAGUUGAGGGUGUGGAGUCUCGUCCGCUACCUGAAGUACUCAAGGACGUGCUAGAGAAAUUCAUCGGCUUUAUUCAGAAGAUGGCGAAGUCUUUCUCCAAGCAACUGUUGAGCUUCAUCAAGUCUUUCUAUCAUCAAGCUGAUCUGGCUCCUGUUGCAGAGGGUAUAGUAGAGGAUUGUUCGGAUAAACUCUUUCAGGACUACUUGUAGGAGAUGGACCCCAUUGCAGAAGAAGUAGCCAAUCAUCAGGUCCUUGAGUAGUUCUGUAUUAAAGCAAACAUUAGUUCUGUAUUGAAAACAUGAUACGAAUGCUUUGUAAUGUAAAUAUUUCUAAGUCUUGUUGCAAUCUCUGCUACUUUCGACUUAUUGUUUUUUAGUGCAUCUUACAAUCUUCCCUGAUAUUUGCUUGUACGGUAGAUGUAAGUGUCUGCGCACAAGGCUUCUUUGAUAAGUCUCAUCAGAUACACGAUGUAGAGUACUUAAGACACGCCUCCUUUUGUGGAGCCCGAGCACUCAAGGUAUCUAGGUAGUAGACCACUGGGCAAGUAAUCUCUUCAAGUGAUUAGAGCCUAUCAUUACAACUUCUCUGAGUUGUAUCGAUGUUAUGCUCUGGAAAGCUUAAAGCUACAGUCUUAUUUAUACAAGCCAUGAUUUAGGCUAAAUAGCCUAAUGAGUAGUUUGUCAAGUGAUUAGGUAACCUCUGAAGAAGUGUUGACUCAUCUUUGCAAGCUGCAUUGGAUAGAGUUGUCCAAUAAGUUGUCGCUUUACUAGCUGCAAACUUGAUUUUGCAAGCCGCGAUUGGACAGUUUUGUCUUAGUAAGGUUGAAUAACCUUUUUGUGAACCGCAAACUUGCUUCUGCAAGCUGUGAUUGGGUGAUUCUGUCCAAUGAGUUGAAUAACCCAUUGAGAUUUUGCAGACUUGUUAAUACAAGCCGUAUUUGGGUGAUUUUUUCCUAGGGAGCUUUUAUAACUCGUUGGAGUUUUGCAGAUUUAUUAUUACAAGCCGCAAUUGGGCGAUUUUACUCAGGGAGCUGAAUAGCUCUACGAACUUGCUUCUGCAAGCCACAGUAAGGUAGAAAUAAGUAGUCGAAUUACGACAAAAAAUAUGUCUGCUUUAUUAAAUUGUAAAUCUACAACUAGGGCCGAUGGCCAAUUUGCCUGAAUAUGCAAAUCUAAAUUAGGGAUAAAAUCGACAUAGUUGCUUGAUGUUCCACGAGUUGUCGACAUCUUCACCAGAGAGAUGUUGGAGCCUAUAUGACCUAGGUCCAAUGACCUUGGAGACGACGAACGGUCCCUCCAUGGUGAGUUUAACUUGUGUAGUCCAUUGGUAUCUUGGAUACGCUUGAGAACCAUAUCGCCUAUAUUGAAUGAACAUUCUUUGACGUUGUGAUCAUGAUAGCGGCGGAUUUCUUCAAGGUACCUUGCAGACUGGACGAGUGCUGCACAAUGAGCUUCUUCGAGGCUGUCUAAAUCUAGAUGCCUUGUUUCUUCUGCUACACCUUCCUCGUACGGCUCAACCUUUGGGGAUUUCCAGAUGACGUCGGCAGGUAGGUUAACUUCGAAUCCUGUAGGCUUGCACGACUGGGUACGGAGUCCCCAGAGGACAUUGGGUAGUUCUUUGAGCCACUUUCCUCCUUUCGUGUUUUUGAUAUCAUGCAGCCUUUUCAUGAGAGCCUCCAGUAUAAUCCCAUUAGCGCGCUCAACCUAGCCAUUGGCCUGUGGAUGAGUGACAAAGAUGUACCGGAUGUCGAUCCUACUGUUCUCGCAAUAUUCCCAAAACUCAUGAUUGUUGAAGUUGGACCCCAGGUCUGUGAUAAUGCAAUUGGGGAAGCUGUUGCGGUGGACAAUUUCGUCAAGGAACUUGAGUACUCUGUUUGCUUUGGGGCAGGUUACUGGUUUCACCUCGAUCCACUUGGUAAACUUGUCCAUUGCCACUAGUACUCGGUUGAAUCCUCCAGGAAGGGUAGGGAGUGGGCCAAUAAUGUCGAGCCCCUAGCAUGCGAAGGGCCAAGAGGGUGGUAUGGUGAUCAUUUUGUAUGCAGGGACGUGUUGUUGCUUGGCAAAAUAUUGGCAUCCUUGGCAUCGGCGGACUAGUUCCUCGGCGUCAACGAGAGCUGUAGGCUAAUAGAACCCUACUUUGAAAGCUUUUCCCACGAUCAUGCGUGAAGACGAAUGAUUGCUGCAAAUGUCUUUAAGGAUCUCCUCUAGUAUGUUCUUGCCAUCUUGCCGUAUGAUGCACUUCAAGAGUACUUAUGACGUUGUGCCUCUUCUGUAAAGCUUGUCUCCAACUAAAACAUAGUUCUUGUUGCGUUGUAAGACUUUCUCGAUCUCUAUUUUGUCUGAAGGUAACUUGUGCUCUUUGAUGUAGUCAAUGAAGAGAGGUCUCCGGUCUACGUCGAUCAUCAUAACCUCUCGAUCUGGUGCGGUAGGGCCUCGAUAAGUGAUUGUUGAUGGUGCCGGCUCCGAUAUGGAUGGCUUGUGUAGGUCAUGGAUGAAAACCCCUGUUAGAACUUGAGCACGAGUAGAUCCAAGCUUGCAUAGGAUGUCUACGGCAACAUUGUUAUCGCGAACUACAUGGUGGAACUCCAGACUAGAGAACUUGUUCUCUAUCUUGCGUACUUUUAGGCAAUAUGCAUCUGUGUUCUCCUUGUGCAGAUCCCACUUGUUAUUGACUUGAUUGAUCACCACCAGUGAGUUGUUGUAGACCAACAAUCACUUGAUUCCUAACGAGAUUGCAAGAAGGAGCCCAUGCCAAAGUGUUUCGUAUUCAUCUUGAUUGUUGGAUACUUCCUAGAAAAUUUGCAGGAUGUAUUUGAGUUGUUCACCUUUGGGAGAUAUCAAGAGUACUCCUGCGCUAGUGCCCUCGAGCUUGAAUGAUCCAUUGAAAUACAUGACCCAAUGCUUUGGGUGCUCUGACGGCAUUGGUAGUUGAUUCUCUCGCCACUCUGCCAUGAAAUCAACUAGGGCCUGGGACAUGAUUACAGUCCUCAACUUGAAUUCCAGGGACAAUGCUCCGAGUUCUACAACCCACUCAGAUAUUCUUCCUGUUGCAUCCCGAUUGUGGAGAAUUUCUAAGAGGGAAAUCUAUGACGACGGAGAUAUUGUGCUCCUGUAAGUAGUGUUGUAGCAUUCGCGAGGUGAGUAUAGCAAUUUUUGGACCAACGAGUAUCUGGCCUUGGAAUCUGACAACACCUCGCUGACGAAGUAAACAGGCCUCUAUACUUUGUAUACAUGGCCUGGUUCUAGUCUUUCAACCACGAUCGCCGUGCUGACGACAUUGGUAGUCGCGGCGAUGUACAACAGCAAGUCUUCAUUGGGGUUUGGCACCAUGAGGAUUAUAGGUUUUGAUAGGAAGUCCUUUAAUUGUUGUAGGGCUUGAUCUGCCACUUCGGUCCACUAAAAUUUGUCUUGCCGCUUGAGUAGUUUGAAGAAGGGUAGGCCUCUUUCUCCAAUCCUUGAGAUGAAUUUAUUGAGGGCCGCCAUGCAUCCAGUCAGCAUCUGGACAUCCUUGAUACCUGAUGGGGCAUGCAUAUCGGUGAUGGUAGAAAUCUUCUCGGGGGUAGCUUCAAUAUCUCGGUGACUACUGAUGAACCCGAGUAGUUUUCUGGAGGGCACGUCGAAGAUGCACUUUGUCGGGUUGAGCUUCCACCGAAAUUCUCGCAGACUUGUGAAGAUUUUUUCUAGAUCCGCAAUCAGGUUGUUGGGAUUUCUGGUCUUUACAACCACAUCAUCCACGUAAAACUCUACGUUGCGGUGUAGCUGCUUUUGAAAGCACUCCUGGUGUCGGAUUUACUAGCCCGACAGUCCACCAGGAGGUCACCCAAAUGAUUGAUAAGUGGCGCCUGCGUUCUUCAACCCGAAAGACAUUGUUGUGUAGCAAAAAACUCCAUAGGGGGUGAUGAACGUGGUCUUGAUAUGAUCUUCCUCUUUGAUAGCUCUUUGGUGAUACCCCGAGUAGCAAUCGAGGAAACAGAGGAGGGCGUAUCCAGCUGUGAGUCGAUAACUUGAUCAAUCCUCGGGAGCCCGAAGGGGUCCUUUGACUAUGUUUGUUGAGGUCUGUGUAGUCAACACACAUCCUCUACUCAUUGUUGUUUUUCUUUCGCACCAGGACGGGAUUGGCAAGCCAUUUUGGAUGAUAGACUUCUUUUAUGAAGCCAACCACGAGUAGUUUGGCCAGUUCUUUCUUGAUGGCUUCCCUUCUGUCUUGGGCAAAUCAUUGUAGGCGUUGCUGUUUAGGUGUAGCUUUUGGUUCACGUUGAGUGAGUGCUGGAUCAACUCCCUGGGCAUCCUCGGCAUGUCCGCCGGUUUCCAUGUGAAGAUAUCUCGGUUGGCCCAGAGGAAACUAACGAGCGCACUUUCCUAUUUAGGAUCCAGCCUUGUGCCAAUCAGUGAUGUCUUGGAGCUAUUACCAGUCUCAAGGUUAAUGGUUUUGACGUCUACUUCACUUGCCGACUUGACCUUGGUUGUCCUGAUUUCUUUUCUAGAAUCUCGAGCUCUGACGGGAACAGAUUCUUGGAUGCGGUGAAGACUUGCAUCAUUUUGUUUGGUACUUGGGUUGUUGCUGCUAGCUCCAUGGCUUCUAUGUUGCAGUCAUACGACCUUUUCAAGUCUCCACACAGGGAGAACACUCCUCUGGGUCCUGACAUCUUGAGUACUAAGUACACGUAGUGCAGGAUGGCCAUGAAUUUGGCUAAUGUUGGUCUUCUGAGGAUGGCGUGGUACGAUGUUUCAAAAUCCGCUACCUCAAACGGGAUGUAUUUUGUCAGGUAUUGCUGUUUGGUCCCAAAGGUAACUUGCAAAACCAUCUAUCCAAGGGGUACAGCCGCGUGGCUCAGGACGAUCCCAUAGAAUGGAGAGUUCAUUGGGGGUAAGCAUAUCAGUGAUGUCAAGGCCCAUCUUCUUCAGUGUCUUGGCGAAUAGUACAUUGAGAUCCCUACUGCCAUCGAAGAGUACUUUAGUAAGUUUGGAGCUAGCGACAACUGUGUCCAGGACGAAAGGAUAUCGUUCUGGGUCUGAGAAACUAGUCCAUUGGUCCUUCCUGGAAAAGUUAAUUGGCACCUCGGACCAUUUGAGGAACAUUGGCGUCGCAGGUUCAAUGGAUAUUAUCUCUCGAAGAGCGAGCUUCUAGGACCACUUAGUAGCAGUACCCAGGGUUCCACCGAAGAUGACACUGAUGGUAUUGGAUGAGUUCUGAAACUUUCCAUUGUCACCAUCGUCUUCAUCUUCCUUGGCUUUGUCCUUGUCUUUGGUGCUAGAUGGCUCUAGUAGGUCUUUCAUAACUCUGCGUAGACUAAAAAAUCUAUUGUGGAGUGCUUGUGGUAUGGAUGCCAUGGGCACUGUUUCUUUAGAAGCUCAUUGAAUGAGGGCCUAUCUUGAUUUUUGCCGCCUCCUUUCUUUGAUGACAGUGAAAUUGCCGUGAAAGUUUUGUUUGGCUUGUGCUUGCGGUUGUGACCUCCCGAGUAAUUAUUUCGGUUGUCAUUGUUAGGGAGAUCGUUGCGAUUUUUGUCAUUGUGUUGGCCAUUCUUAUGAUUGUUGUUGUGCUGACCCUUGUUGCAAUUGGAUUCGAACUUUUCAAUCUCCCUGUCUUCUUCGUCUGCCCACAUCUAUACCAUGAUCUUGAGAGAUUUGACAUCAGCGGGAUGUCGUUUGCCGAAGUCGUGGAACAUUUGGCGGUGGUGGAGGCUGUUCUGGAAGCAGUCAAUAAUGUCAUGCUCCGUGAUAUGCACGAUUGUGGCUUUCUUGUCGAAAAAGUGACGUAAGUAGGUCUGCAGGGUUUCGACUUCUAGUUGUUUGACCUGGACAAGUCGAUCCUGUUGCCAGGACACCGCAUUGCCCCUGCGUAUUUGUUGGUGAAUGCCACCUUGAGGUCUUUCCAUGAGUUGAUGGAGUUCUUGUCCAACGAUUUGAGCCACGUGAGUGACGCCACCUCCACGCAUAUGGGGAAGUAGAUGACUUUGGUGUUGUCGUUUUCCCUAGCUGCUUGUACUGAUAGCGAGUAGCAUCGGAGCCAUUGGUUUGGGUCCUGCUUGCCAUCAUACUUGGUGAUACCCGGAGGUUUGAACUUUUCAUGUAGAGUUGUCCUUCUCACACAUCUUGAGAAGACGGGGAACCCAUCAGUAUAAUCUCUUAGGUGUUCGACUUCUUGCUCGUGCUUGCGGCGCCAUCCGUCAAUGAUGGUACGGGCGUCGCGGCUAGUGGUGAUCUUGUUGCGGAGGUCUUCUACUGGGUGUUUGGGUUCUAGGUUAUCCCCACGGUGGCCACGGCCUCCCGAGGGUCCUGCUCGACUACCUUCAGCUCCAGCUUAGCUUGGUCUGAUGUCUUCGAGUUGACUUGGUCUAGACGGAGGGCCUCUAUGGCUGCUGCAAUGUUGACUUCGCUGGGAUGCGGUGCGUUGGACUGACUAUAUUGGAUUCUGCUGAUCGAGUUGUUCGUACGCGUGUUCUGCCAGUUCAGCCAACUGCCUAGUGUACUUGUUCUGCAACAUCGUGCGGGUGAUGAGAUCAAUAGACGUGAUGGUGACGAGGGGAGUACGAUGGUGAUACGUUUGAACUGCUUCAAAGGCGUUAUCCAGGUUCAGAAUUGGUAGGCCCGCUGCAAGGUGGCGGUGGCGUUCUACUCUUGUAGCAUUUCUUACUCGUCGUCGAGUUCUUUGAUCCUCUUCUCUGACAACGUUGGCAGUGAGCUCAUCCUGCGAGACGUCAUUUGGGUGACGCUCGUGUGGCGGGUUUCUAUCCCGUUGCUCUUCUUUUUCGUCCUGUUGCCCAGUAAUGAGAGCGAAGAGUUCUUGUUUUGGGGAAUAGAUUCCCGAGCUCGAGGUGAUGACCUUCGUGGUGUUGUCUUCCUCGUAGAUGGGUGACAAAGAAGUUCCCUCCUUGUACGGGAGAGUGUCGAGGUAAGCAAUGAGCCGUGAAUCAUCAUUUUUAGUAAGAGCGAGUGGCUUCAUUUUGGGCCAAUAGAUGAAUCUGCCGUGGGGAGUUCAUGUGAUUACCAGGCCCUGUUGUGGACCUGAUAAAGGAGUUUCUUUAUCCGGGUCCGAGUAGUAGUCAAAGUUCUUGAUCAUAUCCAUAUCGGAUUGUGAUCUGGAUAGGGCAGUGUGAUAAUUAGUGGCUGUGUUGUGAAGUCCGAAUGGGAAUCGACUCUAGUGGUAAUCCGACAUGAACAAUGGCUUAUGCGUCGGCUCGUAAAGGUUAAUCCGACUAGCGGAAGAAGUCGAGUUGUACUCGGCCUCGUCCCCCAGCCUUUGACUAGGUUAGAAAUUAAAAAUUUGCCAAAAUUCUCGACGAGAUCCUCCAGAGCUUUGGAUUGGAGCUUCAUGGUUUGCUGCUUCAUCUCCAGAGCCGGCACAAUAUGGAGGCGGAAAUUUCCAGCACCGUCUGCGAUGCAAACCCAAGAGACGAAGUGGACAUCAUGCCUACUUCAAACGUGACGAUUGGCUUGAUGAUGACUUGUGCCAUUGAGUUCACCAGUGAAUUCCCGGCAAGAGCCCCUACCUAGUGCGCCAGCUGUCGGUGUUUAAAUCUGGCAACCUAUCGAGGGGAGUGCCUGAGAUAGUGUUUUAGUUAGUGGGACUCGUCGAGAUCAGGAACUCGAAGGUAAACGCAAACACAUGAUUUAUACAGAUUCGAACCGCUGAAUAGCAUAAUACCCUACGCCUGUAUGUUGGUUGGAUUAAAUUGUAUUAGAAGAGAUCCCCACCUUGUUUUAUAUUAUCGGGAGUAGGCUUACGGAUUGGCUGAUCCUUGGAGGAAUCCAAGGCCACGGGAAAGCCGGAUGGGUUGCCCUCUCACUCUCCCAAGCUGCAAUAACUCCGGAGAUGCGGCGCGCAGGUUAGCCUCUGACUUUGUUCUUCCAACCUCUCCUCUUGCCUCUUCUGCACCCGCGCCGCAGUGUCAACGCUUUGCUGUUUCAUUAUCAGAAAUAAAAACUAAUCAGCAGGUUAUCGAUCGAAUCCUGUCGUCUCAGCCUAUAGUCGGCUGUACUUAUCCAGGAUCCCAAAGGUCAAACACCGGUUCCACCAUCACUAGCAGCUAGCCGUACCAGACACCGACUGAUCGGUACUGUGUGCAGAAUGUCAACCACGAGAGCUAUAAAUUCCUCCUGUCGUUGCUAGACAGCAGCAUCCCAAGCACAAAGCCACAGCGAUCGAGCUAGCAGCUUCAGCUAGCUCACACACAGUGACACAGGUCGAGCAGCAGCAAGACGAGAGAGAUCGAGGGAUGGACAUGGAGCGCGGCGCGCCGGGGAGCUCGCUCCACGGCAUGACCGGGCGCGAGCCGACGUUCGCCUUCUCGACGGAGGAUGCCACGGCGGCGAGCAAGUUCGACCUGCCGGUGGACUCGGAGCACAAGGCCAAGACCAUCAGGCUCUUCUCCUUCGCCAACCCGCACAUGCGCACCUUCCACCUCUCGUGGAUCUCCUUCUUCACCUGCUUCGUCUCCACCUUCGCCGCGGCGCCGCUGGUCCCCAUCAUCCGCGACAACCUCAACCUCACCAAGGCCGACAUCGGCAACGCCGGCGUGGCCUCCGUCUCCGGCUCCAUCUUCUCCCGUCUCGCCAUGGGUGCCGUGUGUGACCUCCUCGGCCCGCGCUACGGCUGCGCGUUCCUCAUCAUGCUCGCCGCGCCCACUGUCUUUUGCAUGGCCAUCAUCGACGACGCCGCAGGCUACAUCGUCGUCAGGUUCCUAAUCGGCUUCUCUCUAGCAACGUUCGUGUCGUGCCAGUACUGGAUGAGCACCAUGUUCAAUAGCAAGAUCAUCGGUACCGUCAAUGGGUUGGCCGCCGGCUGGGGAAACAUGGGCGGCGGCGCCACGCAGCUCAUCAUGCCACUCGUCUAUGACAUCAUCCGCAAGUGCGGCGCCACACCCUUCACGGCGUGGCGUCUCGCCUACUUCGUGCCUGGGUCACUGCACAUCGUGAUGGGAAUCCUUGUGCUCACCAUGGGGCAAGAUCUCCCCGAUGGAAACCUCCGUAGCCUCCAGAAGAAGGGCGAUGCCAACAAGGACAAGUUCUCCAAGGUUAUGUGGUAUGCUAUCACCAACUACCGGACAUGGAUCUUCGUCCUGCUCUACGGCUACUGCAUGGGCGUCGAGCUCACCACCGACAACGUCAUCGCUGAGUACUACUUUGACCACUUCAACCUGGACCUUCGAGUUGCCGGCAUCAUCGCCGCCUGCUUCGGCAUGGCUAACAUCGUGGCAAGGCCCCUGGGCGGGAUCCUCUCUGAUGUUGGUGCGCGCUACUGGGGCAUGCGUGCCCGCCUUUGGAACAUCUGGAUCCUCCAGACCGCAGGCGGCCUUCUGCCUUUGGCUUGGCCGCGCUACCACACUCCCUGCCUCAAUCACCGCCAUGGUGCUCUUCUCAUUCUGCGCUCAGGCCGCCUGUGGCGCCAUUUUUGGUGUCACCCCUUUCAUCUCCCGCCGCUCCCUUGGCAUCAUCUCCGGCAUGACCGGCGCCGGCGGCAACUUCGGUGCAGGACUGACCCAGCUGCUUUUCUUCACCUCAUCCAAGUACUCCACGGGCAUGGGCCUGGAGUACAUGGGCAUCAUGAUCAUGGCGUGCACGCUGCCCGUGGUGUUCGUGCACUUCCCCCAGUGGGGAUCCAUGCUCUUCCCGGCCAACGCCGGCGCCGUUGAGGAGCACUACUACAGCUCCGAGUGGAACGAGGAGGAGAAGAGCAAGGGGCUCCACAGUGCCAGCCUCAAGUUUGCCGAGAACUGCCGCUCUGAGCGUGGCAAGCGCAACGUCAUCCAGGCCACCUCCAGCACGCAGCCUAACAACACGCCAGAGCACGUCUGAGAGAAACUCCUGCUGUUUGUGUUUGUGCGUAUGUUCCUACUCUGAGGUUACAAGCACACGUAUGUUGUAUCGGUGAGGGCAAAGUUUGCAUUUUGUUGUGUAACACGUAUUGCUGUUGUACACAUAAAAAGUUAGAUGUUGUCACACUCAUCGUAUACAUACAUAAAUGGAUUAUAGUAGGUGCACAAGGGUUCAUUAUAUUUUUCUUUGCCGCUACCUUUUGAUAUGAGAAAGUAAUGAAAAAAAUAUAUAUUGAUCAUUUUUUUCUUACAACAUAGUGUAAGGCAUGGUUUGACCAUGUAUGAUCUCCAACGCUAUAUUUUGAGUAUUGAUAUCUCAUUUCUACCUAAUAUUAAAGUACGGUUGUUUCUUCCAACUGUUAUAGUUAUUUUUCAAAGAAGUCUCUUAACUUUUUCGUAAUCAACCCGCAGUCCUUGGAAUAGCUCUUGAUGAUUUUGUAAAAAGUUCCCCAAACUUUACUGCAAUUGACGCGAGGUCCAGCCUUUGCUCCUGUGUUCACAAGUAGGGCAAGCGGCAGUAGUCCAUGGCAAAACAACCAUAAUGCCACACGCCUCGACAUGCUCGCCUGCGCCUCUGCGUCUGCCACUGGAGAGCCCACGCGCCGCAUCAUCUGCCGCCGCGCAUCGCUGGGUAAGUAGGGCUCACCCCCGCGCCCCUCGCCCAGCUGCAUCAUCCGCCACCAUGAGCCAUUGGGUAAGCAGGGCUCGCCCCCACGGCCCCGUCCAGCCGUCCAUUGUGGAGGUGCAUCAGCCACCUGCUCAAUGGAGGCAAGAACUCCGCGUUCAAUGAGCUCAUUGCCUCCGUCCCUGAUGCCCUAACCCAUGACUAAUUGUUGGCUAAAACUUACUAUAGAUUUUGAUAUGUUCAAAUUAAAAUACACCUUAGUUUCUGGAUCUGUCAUCAUUUCACCUUAAAUUUCCCACCGGUUGUGUAUCAGGCACUACCUCCUCCAGCAUGACAGUGUUAACGUGCGCUGGCUUAUCUGCAAGCGAGCCAUGUACUUAGCACUGACAGUCGCUCUCACUCAUUGACCUAUACACAAUUGCAGCAACAGUUCAUGAACCUCAUGCUUGUUUUGACUUUGCACGUCUCGUUUGCUUCAAAGUUGACAUUGGAUUAUUAGAUCAGCCAAUUAAUCUCCAAUUGCAUAUUUCAUACAGCAGCUGGUGAUAAGCCUAUGGAUGGGGCCAACAAGUACCUGAGCUGUCCUGCCAGUUUCUUUUAUAUAUGUGCAUGCACUUCCGUCGACAUGUUGGCUGCCUCCAAUCGUUGCGACCUGCUGAUCCGGUAGUAGUCGACAGUUAUCUGAAAUGCGUAUGCCUUAUUAUUAACAAAAUUAGCAUGGCCAUUGAAUUUAUACAAACUUUGGCAAAGCUAGCUGAUCAACUCACAGCUAUGCUCAGUCGGAUUUUGGAUGAGGUAAGUCGUCCAUGUGAACAGAAUAAGGUCACAAGAUGUCCAUAAGAGCACAGUAUUUUCAUACUAAAGUAGCAUUUUCUACCAGUAAUUGAGGUUAGAUAAAGAAGACGUCUGUUUCAGCAAAUUUACUUAUUGAGUGUAUCUUUUUUUUUUCUUCUCUCCGAAAUGGUAAGCGUAUUAAACUCACGCCUCCUGUAUUUCAAACGACCGGUAUUAGUGAAACUUUCUUUUUAUGGAACAGGAGGGGAAGGUCCUGCUGAUUAUAUUAUAUAUUAAAGAGAGGAUGUUAACUUAAAAAAAAUUAUGAAACAAAGCACAAAAAGAAAAAGAUCAUAAACAUUACAAUGUCUGCUCUAGCCAUGAAGACAUUUGAAGUUUCCAGUCCUCUUUUACUUUAAGAAUAACCUGAGUAAAAACUAAUUUGAAUCGGAUCAAACAUGUUUGCACUUAAGGAGAGAUCCCUUCAAAGAUCCAAUCAUUUCUAACUAUCUAGAUGCUCCAACUAAUAAUAAUGAUAAUUUCCAUAAAGAACUGUACAUGUAGCUGUGUUCUGAAGGUUUCUAAAAUUGCAUAGGGCUCGUUAGAAAGCUUCAAGAACAGGCCAAGGUGAAUCAAGCAUUCCUGAGCAAAAGAGCAACCAAGUAGAAGGUGAAAUAAGGUUUCCUCACCUUCAUGCUGAUAUAGAACACAAUCAUAUGAAAAAUGGAACAUGUUCUUCCUUAUAAGAAUGUUCCUGAGCCUGUCUUUAAGUACCAACCAGAAGAAGACUUUAUGUUUGUUUUGACAACGUGAUUUCCAUAGCCACUAGAACACUCGGUGAACCUAUCUAUGGCCAGUGAGAUGGCGGUAGACUUUUGAUGAUGAGAAAUAAGAGUUCCUUCAUAUAUAUGUCCACACAUCGGAUCAUUAUUUAAUGCUAGGUCCUCCAAAAUGUGAGCGAGAUGAACUAGUUGGUCAAGAGCUUGAGCUCAUAGAGGGAGAUGGAACAAAUGCUGUAUAUCCACUAUUUCCUGAGCUUUUGAAUCGAGAUGUGUUGCUUUUUGGUGAAGGAGAAGAGGUGAGGAUAUGCCUAGGCAGGUACUCAUUCUUUCCAUAAAUCAUUCCAAGUAAACAUGUCUGUCCAUCAUUAAUGGUAACCACUACCAAAUCUUUAAAUUUGUCGAUCAACUUUAACACAUCCUUCCACCAAAAAGAACAUUUCUUUACUUGGUUUGGUAACUUGCCAUUAUAGUAGUAUUUCUCCCACAUCAGGUGAACCCAAGGAAUGUCUUCUCUAUUGAAGAAUUUAUGAAAAAUUUCAGUACCAAAGCCGCAUUCUGGGUUUUGAUAUUCAGAACACCCAAACCCUCCUCUUUCUUUGGGAGGCAAACCAUCUCCCAAGCUGCUUUAGGGGGAGAUUUGUUGUUAAUACCCGAUCCUCUCCAAAGGCAAUAUUUUCCGUACUUGUCAAUUUGUUUAUACAAUGUUUUAUGUAGGAUAAAAGUACACAUAUAAAACAUAGGCAGAGUAGUGAAAACUGAAUUGGUUAAUUCCAGACGCCCUAUUUGAGACAGAAAAGAUGAGGUGCUGACUAGUCUCCUUUCACAUCUAGACACCAUUGGAAGGAAUUCUUCCACUUUUGCCUUUGUGAGACCUAGAGGCAGACCCAAAUAAGUGAAUGGCAGAGUUCCCAUUGCACAGCCAAAUAGCUGAGAUAGAGCUUGUAACCUUUCAUCUAAAACAUUGAUUGGCACCAUCAUGGACUUAGAGUAGUUACCUGUAAGGCCAGUGCAGAGAGCAAAUGACUGAAGAAUGUUCUUGAGAAUUUGCAGUUGGGAGGGGCAGCCUUCCAUUAUAAGGAGCGUGUCAUCUGCAUACUGGACAUUGGGGAAGUUCUGACUGUGAGAGAGGAGAAUUGGUAAUCAUAGAAGCCCUUGUCUCUUAGCAUCAUUUAGAAGAGAUUGUAAUAAGUCUCUUAGCAUCAUUUAGAAGAGAUCAUAAUAAGUCAGCUGCCAAAACAAAAAGGAGUGGAGAGAGGAGGUCCCCUUGUCUUACUCCUCGUCUGCAAUGAAAUGUUUUCCCUGGGACUCCAUUCAACAAGAUGGAGGAAGUACCUGAACUGAAAUUUGCUGCAUCCAACCCAGCCAUGCUGUCCCAAAACCUUUAUGUUUCAUGAUAGUCAACAUUGCUUCAUGUUCGAUCGUAUAAAAGGUUUUUUCAAAGUCCAGUUUAAGAAUCACAAUUUCUUUCUUUGUUUUAUGACAUAGAUGCAGAUACUCAAAAGCCCAAGCCAAACAAUCUUGAAUGGUCCUUAUUUUGAUAAAUCCAUAUUGAUUUUUGUGGAUAAUAUCUAUGAUGACUUUCCGUAAUCUAUUUGGCUAGGAGCUUUGUCAGAAGCUUCGUGGAGGUAUUCAGAAGAGAGAUUGGCCAGAAGUCUGACACUUUACAAGCCACAUCUAUUUUUGGUAAUAAAGUGAUAUAGGAACCAUUAAUGCUUCAAAGACAUAUAUUUCCAAAAUGAAAAGAUGCCCAAAGGUCAUAAAAAUCUAGUUUAAUUAGAGGCCAGCAUCUGUUAAUGAAAUUGAUAUUAAAGCUAUCAUGUCCAGGAGACUUAUCAGUAGACAUAUUUUGAAUUACAGAGUCUAUCUCUUCAUGACUAAAUGGUUCCUCUAAGCAUUGUAAGUUGUCAGAUAUUUGAAGGAGCUGUUCUAGGUCAAAUACCAUGGGAUGAGAAUCUGAAGUACCAAGCCUCUCCUUGUAUGCUUCCCAUAGGAUUGAUUCUUUUAGCAUGAUGUUGUGAUUGGAGAUUGCUAGAAACUUGAGGCAUCAUCUGGGAAGAGAGGUGUGACCCAAGCACCAAGCAGAGAUCGUACCUUGGCAGAGAAAUUAAGCCCCAGGCACAAAUCGAUGUUGGGAGAAUCCAUCAUGGAACCGGGAAGGAGCUUGAGCGAGAAACACUGGGUAAGGUCUGACUGGUGGGUCGAGGACCCGAAGGUCGCCUGACCGCUCACCAUAAUGAUGAACAAUCAGUGUGCACAGGUUAUGUGAGGUUCUUUCUCAUAACGGUGGAGGUUUGUGAGUUUUUCGAACAAAUUAGAUUCAAUGGCUAUAGUUGUCAGCAAUGAUUAAGUCUAUCGAAAUACUAGGAAUAUUUAUGUUCUUGUCUAUAGAUGUCCAUACAGCCCGACAGCUCGGCAUGAAGCCUGAUUUUUUAGCCCGUUCCAAGCCCGACCUAGCCCGUAACUCUUCAAGCUCGGGCUGGCCCGACGUGAUGGCUCAUGACAGGUGUGGGCCUGCCCCUCGGCCCGAUGGGUGGCCUGGCCCAGCAUGAUUUUAAUGUGUCGGCCCAAAAUGGCCCAUUAACCUCCUUCCUACCGGUCCAACAACAGCCUGCUAGCUCUCACCCGUCCCCCCUUCUUCUCCCUGUGACCCUAUCUCCUCUCCUUGUGACCCUAUCUGCUGCCCACCGCCACCUCCUCUAUCUCUCACAUGGCUCCAUGCCUCAAUCCUCCCCUUCCUCUCCAAACCUCCGCCUCCUCUUCGGCCGACAGCGACGGCACGAGGGGUCGGGAGCAGCGGCAGCUUGCGCGGGAGGCCGGCAGCGGCGGCGGCCUGAGGGGCUAGAGCAGCGGGCGCGACGCAGGAGGCCGGAAACAGUGGACGUGGCGUGGGAGGUCAGUAGCGGCGGGCGCGACGUGGGAGGCUAGCGGCGGCGCCAGGGGCCGGGAGCGACGGCAGCUUGCGCAGGAGGCCGGGAGCGGCGGUAGCCUGAGGGGCUAAAGCGGUGGGAGCGGUGCGGGAGGCCAGUAGCGGUGGCAACGCAGGAGGCCGGCAGCGGUGACGGCUCGCACGGGCACGAGGGGCCGGGAGUGGCGACAACUCGCACGGGAGGCCGGCAGCGGCGGGCGCGGCGCGAGGGAGGCUGACAGCGGCCGCGGCGCGGGGGCCUGCCGUGCCUCGCGUGGCCCAAAGCCGCCCGUGCUCGACGGGCCGGCCUGGCACAGAAAUGGCAUUGCCCGUCGGUGCAGCCUGUGGGCUGUGGGCUGGCACGGCAUGGCACAAAAAUUAACGGGUCUUGCCGGGCUCACGCCAGACCGGCCGGGCAGUCCGAAUGGACACAUAUAUUCUUGUUGUAGCAUGCCUGUACAGAGUAACAUGGAGGCAAAAAAAAGGUCUCAUAGUAAGAUAAAAUGUUUGUAUUUGAUUUGAGACAAGUGGUUACAAGUACACAAGAAACUUCUCACUUAGCUGCAGUGCUACAAUCAACCUCAUGUCUUUUUGCUUAUAUCAUGCCUGCAUAUAUAUGUACUCAAUAAUUUUCCUAUACGUUCUCUGGCGUGUUGUUAGGCUGCGUGUUGGAGGUGGCCUGGAUGACGUUGCGCCUGCCACGCUCAGAGCGGCAGUUCUCGGCAAACUUGAGGCUGGCACUGUGGAGCCCCUUGCUCUUCUCCUCCUCGUUCCACUCGGAGCUGUAGUAGUGCUCCUCAACGGCGCCGGCGUUGGCCGGGAAGAGCAUGGAUCCCCACUGGGGGAAGUGCACGAACACCACGGGCAGCGUGCACGCCAUGAUCAUGAUGCCCAUGUACUCCAGGCCCAUGCCCGUGGAGUACUUGGAUGAGGUGAAGAAAAGCAGCUGGGUCAGUCCUGCACCGAAGUUGCCGCCGGCGCCAGUCAUGCCGGAGAUGAUGCCAAGGGAGCGGCGGGAGAUGAAAGGGGUGACACCAAAAAUGGCACCACAGGCGGCCUGAGCGCAGAAUGAGAAGAGCACCAUGGCGGUGAUUGAGGCAGGGAGUGUGGUAGCGCGGCCAAGCCAAAGGC
Molecule: long non-coding RNA, 29288 nt
Filed under: Setaria italica (foxtail millet)
Lineage: Eukaryota; Viridiplantae; Streptophyta; Magnoliopsida; Poales; Poaceae
Description: long non-coding RNA (SITA_LNC000224)
Source: RNAcentral